GUGUCAGCCGCCGCGGUAAUACGAAGGGGGCUAGCGUUGUUCGGAAUUACUGGGCGUAAAGCGCGCGUAGGCGGCUUCGUCAGUCAGGGGUGAAAUCCCGGGGCUCAACCUCGGAAUUGCCUUUGAUACUGCGGAGCUUGAGUCCGAGAGAGGAUGGUGGAAUACCCAGUGUAGAGGUGAAAUUCGUAGAUAUUGGGUGGAACACCAGUGGCGAAGGCGGCCAUCUGGCUCGGUACUGACGCUGAAGUGCGAAAGCGUGGGGAGCAAACAGGAUUAGAUACCCUGGUAGUCCACGCCGUAAACGAUGGGUGCUAGCUGUUGGGGAGCCUAGCUCUUCAGUGGCGCAGCUAACGCGUUAAGCACCCCGCCUGGGGAGUACGGCCGCAAGGUUAAAACUUAAAUAAAUUGACGGGG
Molecule: ribosomal RNA, 414 nt
Filed under: uncultured prokaryote
Description: bacterial SSU rRNA
Rfam family: Bacterial small subunit ribosomal RNA
Source: RNAcentral